UAUUAAGGACUUCCUUUUCAUAUUCUAUGAAAAAUGAUAAAAAGAAAGAGAGAUGACUAAAAAUAUAUAUUGUGAUAUGGUUAAAAAUGAACAUUGAUAAUGGCAAAUUAUAAAAUAUGUUCGAUGCACUAAAAAAUAAUACACAGAAUACUCACAAAAAAAUCAAUGAAGUCAUAAAUUUUGGAAGGCAGACCACCUCUUUGUGAGUGAAGGUACAAUACGCCCAAUAACCUAACAUAUAUUUUUAUACAAGCUAAAGUAACAAG
Molecule: unclassified non-coding RNA, 266 nt
Filed under: Hevea brasiliensis (rubber tree)
Lineage: Eukaryota; Viridiplantae; Streptophyta; Magnoliopsida; Malpighiales; Euphorbiaceae
Source: RNAcentral